UACAGAGGUCUCAAGCGUUGUUCGGAUUCAUUGGGCGUAAAGGGUGCGUAGGUGGCAUGGUAAGUCGGAUGUGAAACCCCGGGGCUCAACCCCGGAACUGCAUUCGAUACUGCUGCGCUAGAGUACUGGAGAGGAGAUUGGAAUUUACGGUGUAGCAGUGAAAUGCGUAGAUAUCGUAAGGAAGACCAGUGGCGAAGGCGGAUCUCUGGACAGUUACUGACACUGAGGCACGAAGGCCAGGGGAGCAAACGGG
RNAcentral lists this ribosomal RNA (253 nucleotides) under uncultured bacterium. RNAcentral's name for it is "partial 16S ribosomal RNA". It matches the Rfam family "Bacterial small subunit ribosomal RNA", at positions 524 to 776 of the family's 1533-position model. The record is from RNAcentral.